RNAcentral lists this ribosomal RNA (301 nucleotides) under uncultured bacterium. RNAcentral's name for it is "partial 16S ribosomal RNA". It matches the Rfam family "Bacterial small subunit ribosomal RNA", at positions 509 to 807 of the family's 1533-position model. The record is from RNAcentral.
CAGCAGCCGCGGUAAUACGGAGGGAGCUAGCGUUGUUCGGAAUUACUGGGCGUAAAGCGCGCGUAGGCGGUUACUCAAGUCAGAGGUGAAAGCCCGGGGCUCAACCCCGGAACUGCCUUUGAAACUAGGUGACUAGAAUCUUGGAGAGGUCAGUGGAAUUCCGAGUGUAGAGGUGAAAUUCGUAGAUAUUCGGAAGAACACCAGUGGCGAAGGCGACUGACUGGACAAGUAUUGACGCUGAGGUGCGAAAGCGUGGGGAGCAAACAGGAUUAGAGACCCCCGUAGUCCCUGUCUCUUAUAC